GCUAUGAGGGUUGUGAGAGAAUGAGGAGGCAUGGAUAAUACCUAGUCUGAGCCUGAGUGAAUGAAAGGGCGUGGUGACCUUGAUAAUAAUAAAACUUCAUGUUUGUUGGGGGUUCAAACGCAGAACAAAUGCACAAAAAAUUAAGUUGUAAUUUAAAAAACAGAAGCAUCUGAAGACUUCACCAUGUAUACAGAAUCUCAUUAAUUUAGAUUCUGUUCCAGGUAUCCUCCAGGAUAAGGGCAUAGUUUUGAUAACUCUGAGGCUGAAAUUUCUAAGAAAGAAAUGAAGGAAAAAGGAGAGGAGACAGGAAGUAACAUCUUCUCAGAAAUGUCAUUAAAAGAUAGCCAAAAUAACUGGACAUUUUUAACACAACUCUCACAGAAUUUCAACUAAUUUUCAAAGAAAAAAUUAAAAUAAAAGUAAAAAUGAAAA
Molecule: long non-coding RNA, 432 nt
Organism: Monodelphis domestica (gray short-tailed opossum)
Lineage: Eukaryota; Metazoa; Chordata; Mammalia; Didelphimorphia; Didelphidae
Source: RefSeq, a predicted model, not a curated record